RNAcentral lists this ribosomal RNA (465 nucleotides) under Vreelandella stevensii. RNAcentral describes it as "partial 16S ribosomal RNA". It matches the Rfam family "Bacterial small subunit ribosomal RNA", at positions 338 to 795 of the family's 1533-position model. Lineage: Bacteria; Pseudomonadati; Pseudomonadota; Gammaproteobacteria; Oceanospirillales; Halomonadaceae. The record is from RNAcentral.
CCUACGGGUGGCUGCAGUGGGGAAUAUUGGACAAUGGGGGGAACCCUGAUCCAGCCAUGCCGCGUGUGUGAAGAAGGCCCUCGGGUUGUAAAGCACUUUCAGUGAGGAAGAACGCCUGGUGGUUAAUACCCAUCAGGAAAGACAUCACUCACAGAAGAAGCACCGGCUAACUCCGUGCCAACAGCCGCGGUAAUACGGAGGGUGCGAGCGUUAAUCGGAAUUACUGGGCGUAAAGCGCGCGUAGGUGGCUUGAUAAGCCGGUUGUGAAAGCCCCGGGCUCAACCUGGGAACGGCAUCCGGAACUGUCAAGCUAGAGUGCAGGAGAGGAAGGUAGAAUUCCCGGUGUAGCGGUGAAAUGCGUAGAGAUCGGGAGGAAUACCAGUGGCGAAGGCGGCCUUCUGGACUGACACUGACACUGAGGUGCGAAAGCGUGGGUAGCAAACAGGAUUAGAUACCCUGGUAGUC